Molecule: small nuclear RNA, 153 nt
Filed under: Erinaceus europaeus (western European hedgehog)
Lineage: Eukaryota; Metazoa; Chordata; Mammalia; Eulipotyphla; Erinaceidae
Description: U1 spliceosomal RNA (ENSEEUG00000018748.1)
Rfam family: U1 spliceosomal RNA
About the family: U1 is a small nuclear RNA (snRNA) component of the spliceosome (involved in pre-mRNA splicing). Its 5' end forms complementary base pairs with the 5' splice junction, thus defining the 5' donor site of an intron. There are significant differences in sequence and secondary structure between metazoan and yeast U1 snRNAs, the latter being much longer (568 nucleotides as compared to 164 nucleotides in human).
Source: RNAcentral
AUACUUACCUGGCAGGGGGAGACACCAUGAUCAUGAAGGGGAUUUUCCCAGGGCGAGGCUUAUCCACUGUACUCUGGAAUGUGCAAUUUCCUCAAAUGUGGGAAACUCAACUGCAUAAUUUGUAGUAGGGGAGUACAUUCAUGUUCUCCCCCU